UCAUCAGCAGAGGUUUCAUCGCCACAUCAUUCUGCCAUGUUACCCGGGAGGCAAUGUGCGGUGGUAUCGCUGCAUCAAAGGUCAAAGGUUGUUUGCAAGUGGCGUCCUUAAAGCAUUGGUGGUGCGAAAAAAGAUUGAAGACUAGAAAUGGAAGAUAUUUGUGGGGCGAAUGUGGAAAAUUGUACAGAAUGAUUCCACAAAGAAGGUUCCGGAUGAAGCCAUACUGAAAUAGCUGCCCUGCUCGUUGCUUUCUGCCAGCAAAGCGGUGACCCAAAGAUCCGCAGCACUAAACAAAUUGCUGCUGAUGACACAUAUUUUACUUGAGAAUUUUAACAUGUUACCCUCAGGGAGACGAUUUAGGAUUCUGAUGUGUAAAUCAAAUCGUUAUAAAAAUUCUUUUGUGCCAACUGCAGUUAAAUUAUUGAACAGAGAAUUCCAAAACUGAGAUUUUAGAUUGGUAUACAGUAGGUUUUUAAUAUAUUUGAUUGUUGCUUUAUUUCUUAUUUUAUUGCAUGUUAUGGAACGUAUUGUUUUAUGCGAGUCCAAUGUUGUUCAUUGGCCGUGUCAUGGCUGUCCAAGACAAAUUUCCCAGGAAUGGGACAAUAAAGUAUAUUCUAUUCUAUUCUAU
RNAcentral lists this long non-coding RNA (628 nucleotides) under Scleropages formosus (Asian bonytongue). RNAcentral's name for it is "lncRNA (ENSSFOG00015033127.1)". Lineage: Eukaryota; Metazoa; Chordata; Actinopteri; Osteoglossiformes; Osteoglossidae. The record is from RNAcentral.